GAGGAUGACCAGCCACACUGGAACUGAGACACGGUCCAGACUCCUACGGGAGGCAGCAGUGGGGAAUAUUGGACAAUGGGGGAAACCCUGAUCCAGCAAUGCCGCGUGUGUGAAGAAGGCCUGAGGGUUGUAAAGCACUUUCAGUGGGGAGGAGGAUUGACAGGUUAAGAGCUAGUUAAUUGGACGUUACCCACAGAAGAAGUACCGGCUAACUCCGUGCCAGCAGCCGCGGUAAUACGGAGGGUGCGAGCGUUAAUCGGAAUUACUGGGCGUAAAGGGUGCGUAGGUGGUUGGAUAAGUUAUCUGUGAAAGCCCUGGGCUCAACCUGGGAAGGUCAGAUAAGACUGUUCGACUCGAGUAUAGGAGAGGGUAGUGGAAUUUCCGGUGUAGCGGUGAAAUGCGUAGAGAUCGGAAGGAACACCAGUGGCGAAGGCGGCUACCUGGCCUGAUACUGACACUGAAGCACGAAAGCGUGGGGAGCAAACA
This 486-nucleotide ribosomal RNA is filed under the name uncultured Legionella sp. Its description in RNAcentral is "bacterial SSU rRNA". It matches the Rfam family "Bacterial small subunit ribosomal RNA", at positions 296 to 774 of the family's 1533-position model. The record is from RNAcentral. Lineage: Bacteria; Pseudomonadati; Pseudomonadota; Gammaproteobacteria; Legionellales; Legionellaceae.